CCUACGGGAGGCAGCAGUGAGGAAUAUUGGUCAAUGGGCGGAAGCCUGAACCAGCCAAGUAGCGUGCAGGAUGACGGCCCUACGGGUUGUAAACUGCUUUUAUACGGGAAUAACGCGCCUUACGUGUAGGGCUUUGCAUGUACCGUAUGAAUAAGGACCGGCUAAUUCCGUGCCAGCAGCCGCGGUAAUACGGAGGGUCCGGGCGUUAUCCGGAUUUAUUGGGUUUAAAGGGAGCGUAGGCGGUUUGUUAAGUCAGCGGUAAAAGCUCGGGGCUCAACCUCAGACCGCCGUUGAAACUGGCAGUCUCGAGUUGGAGAGAAGUAGGCGGAAUGCGCGGUGUAGCGGUGAAAUGCAUAGAUAUCGCGCAGAACUCCGAUUGCGAAGGCAGCAUGCCGGCUCCACACUGACGCUGAGGCACGAAAGCGUGGGUAUCGAACAGGAUUAGAUACCCCUGUAGUC
Molecule: ribosomal RNA, 459 nt
Filed under: uncultured bacterium
Lineage: Bacteria
Description: partial 16S ribosomal RNA
Rfam family: Bacterial small subunit ribosomal RNA
Source: RNAcentral